CAGCUGCUCCUCAAGUCUCUCAUACCUGAACAUACAACCCAAACCAACCCAGCAGAACCAAACAGAACAGAACAAAAUGCUUGAUUAGGACAUCUACCCACAGCCGGAUGUAAGUAAUAACUCACUGGACAACAGAAGACAUAUUAAUCCUGAGCUGAAAAUAGACCUUAAUAGUCAGAUAUCCUGAUAAGAAACUUCAACACAGAUUCAUGGUAAAUCUGAUGUCAUUUAUAUUAAUCAGAAUAAAAUUAGAGAUAUCUCAAAUAGGUAUUUUGUCUAGUUAAAGCAUAAUUAGAGAUGUCUUCAUUUGCUAAUACGUCAGAUAUUUGGAAUUGAAAUGUGGUGAAGCUGAUUUUAUGUUAAAAUGGCCGUCCUGCAGAACGGCAGUAGGAACAUGGAGGGGGCUGAGU
Molecule: long non-coding RNA, 410 nt
Organism: Xiphophorus hellerii (green swordtail)
Lineage: Eukaryota; Metazoa; Chordata; Actinopteri; Cyprinodontiformes; Poeciliidae
Exons: 3
Source: RefSeq, a predicted model, not a curated record